Molecule: ribosomal RNA, 441 nt
Filed under: uncultured bacterium
Lineage: Bacteria
Description: bacterial SSU rRNA
Rfam family: Bacterial small subunit ribosomal RNA
Source: RNAcentral
AACGCGAAGAACCUUACCCAGACUUGACAUGCACUGGACAGUAUCAGAAAUGAUACCUCCCUUCGGGGCCGGUGCACAGGUGCUGCAUGGCUGUCGUCAGCUCGUGCCGUGAGGUGUUUGGUUAAGUCCAGCAACGAGCGCAACCCUUAUCCCUAGUUGCCAUCGGGUCAAGCCGGGCACUCUAGUGAAACUGCCUCGGAUAACGAGGAGGAAGGUGGGGAUGACGUCAAGUCCUCAUGGCCUUUAUGUCCAGGGCUACACACGUGUUACAAUGCGCGGCACAGACUGUUGCGAACCCGCGAGGGGGAGCUAAUCGGAAAAAACCGCGCUCAGUUCGGAUUGCAGUCUGCAACUCGACUGCAUGAAGCUGGAAUCGCUAGUAAUGGCGUAUCAGAUCGACGCCGUGAAUACGUUCCCGGGCCUUGUACACACCGACGCGUA